GAUGAACGCUGGCGGCGUGCUUAACACAUGCAAGUCGAACGAUGAAGCCCAGCUUGCUGGGUGGAUUAGUGGCGAACGGGUGAGUAACACGUGAGUAACCUGCCCUUAACUCUGGGAUAAGCCUGGGAAACUGGGUCUAAUACCGAAUAGGAGCGCCUACCGCAUGGUGGGUGUUGGAAAGAUUUAUCGGUUUUGGAUGGACUCGCGGCCUAUCAGCUUGUUGGUGAGGUAAUGGCUCACCAAGGCGACGACGGGUAGCCGGCCUGAGAGGGUGACCGGCCACACUGGGACUGAGACACGGCCCAGACUCCUACGGGAGGCAGCAGUGGGGAAUAUUGCACAAUGGGCGAAAGCCUGAUGCAGCGACGCCGCGUGAGGGAUGACGGCCUUCGGGUUGUAAACCUCUUUCAGUAGGGAAGAAGCGAAAGUGACGGUACCUGCAGAAGAAGCACCGGCUAACUACGUG
Molecule: ribosomal RNA, 466 nt
Filed under: uncultured bacterium
Lineage: Bacteria
Description: partial 16S ribosomal RNA
Rfam family: Bacterial small subunit ribosomal RNA
Source: RNAcentral